GACGAACGCUGGCGGCGUGCUUAACACAUGCAAGUCGAACGGAAAGGCCCUGCUUUUGUGGGGUGCUCGAGUGGCGGACGGGUGAGUAACACGUGAGUAACCUGCCCUUGACUUUGGGAUAACUUCAGGAAACUGGGGCUAAUACCGGAUAGGAGCUCCUGCUGCAUGGUGGGGGUUGGAAAGUUUCGGCGGUUGGGGAUGGACUCGCGGCUUAUCAGCUUGUUGGUGGGGUAGUGGCUUACCAAGGCUUUGACGGGUAGCCGGCCUGAGAGGGUGACCGGCCACAUUGGGACUGAGAUACGGCCCAGACUCCUACGGGGGGCAGCAGUGGGGAAUAUUGCACAAUGGGCGGAAGCCUGAUGCAGCAACGCCGCGUGCGGGAUGACGGCCUUCGGGUUGUAAACCGCUUUCGCCUGUGACGAAGCGUGAGUGACGGUAAUGGGUAAAGAAGCACCGGCUAACUACGUG
RNAcentral lists this ribosomal RNA (468 nucleotides) under uncultured bacterium. RNAcentral describes it as "partial 16S ribosomal RNA". It matches the Rfam family "Bacterial small subunit ribosomal RNA", at positions 28 to 507 of the family's 1533-position model. The record is from RNAcentral.